Molecule: long non-coding RNA, 247 nt
Organism: Haliotis rubra (blacklip abalone)
Lineage: Eukaryota; Metazoa; Mollusca; Gastropoda; Lepetellida; Haliotidae
Exons: 3
Source: RefSeq, a predicted model, not a curated record
CCCACCGUUGACGUCCGGAACCGCGACAACCGUCAUCAAAACCGUCACAUCUACGACAACUAGCACCACCACCACUACUCCUCCAUUCACAGACGACGCUGGAUCGGACCUACCAACCUUUGGAUACAUCACGACAUACUCGACAAGCGAUAGCGCUCUAGUUGACAAUUUGAAAGUUAUGUGGUACCCCCUUGUUGGCGUGCUGAGCGGAGGAUGGCUAAUUUUUACCCUCGUCAUCGGGGUUGUG